Molecule: long non-coding RNA, 385 nt
Filed under: Elaeis guineensis (African oil palm)
Lineage: Eukaryota; Viridiplantae; Streptophyta; Magnoliopsida; Arecales; Arecaceae
Description: long non-coding RNA (EGUI_LNC006239)
Source: RNAcentral
CAUUUCGCCUUCAGAUCCGUGCAGCGGGAUAACGGAACGGAACGGAUGGAGCCCGGACCCGACGCCCCCAUUUCAUCGUUUCUAAUUUUUUUUUUUUUCUACGUCCGACCCCAGAGGACGAAAAGGGAGGGUGGGAGAGAGGAGAAGACUCGCCGUCGUCUUCCCCGAACCCUCUUCUUCGCCGUCUUCUCCUCGCCUUCUACGCCGGACGCACUCGCGGUCUGCAGUCCCUCGAGAAGGUAAGUCUUUUAGGCUUGCCCUUCACUCUUUCUCGCUUGUCUCCAGUGACCGUCUACGCGUAUAUCUGUAUGGGCGUACGUGGUUAAACCACUGGCCCCCUUUCACCAAGUUUAAAAAAAAAAAUCGCUCCCAUUCUAUUUCUAAC